This 1198-nucleotide ribosomal RNA is filed under the name uncultured bacterium. RNAcentral describes it as "bacterial SSU rRNA". It matches the Rfam family "Bacterial small subunit ribosomal RNA", at positions 147 to 1348 of the family's 1533-position model. The record is from RNAcentral.
CCCGGCGAAAGUCGGACUAAUACCGCAUAAAACAGGGGCACCGCAUGGUGAUAUUUGUUAAAGAAAUUCGCUGAUAGAUGGGCAUGCGUUCCAUUAGGUAGUUGGUGAGGUAACGGCUCACCAAGCCGACGAUGGAUAGGGGAACUGAGAGGUUGGCCCCCCACACUGGUACUGAGACACGGACCAGACUCCUACGGGAGGCAGCAGUGAGGAAUAUUGGUCAAUGGGCGAGAGCCUGAACCAGCCAAGUCGCGUGAAGGAAGAAGGAUCUAUGGUUCGUAAACUUCCUUUGCAGGGGAAUAAAGUGCGGGACGUGUCCUGUUUUGUAUGUACCCUGAGAAUAAGGAUCGGCUAACUCCGUGCCAGCAGCCGCGGUAAUACGGAGGAUCCGAGCGUUAUCCGGAUUUAUUGGGUUUAAAGGGUGCGUAGGUGGUUUUAUAAGUCAGCGGUGAAAGUUUGCAGCUUAACUGUAAAAAUGCCGUUGAAACUGUAAGACUUGAGUGUAAAUGAGGUAGGCGGAAUGCGUGGUGUAGCGGUGAAGUGCAUAGAUAUCACGCAGAACUCCGAUUGCGAAGGCAGCUUACUAAGCUACAACUGACACUGAAGCACGAAAGCGUGGGGAUCAAACAGGAUUAGAUACCCUGGUAGUCCACGCAGUAAACGAUGAUUACUAGCUGUUUGCGAUACACAGUAAGCGGCACAGCGAAAGCGUUAAGUAAUCCACCUGGGGAGUACGCCGGCAACGGUGAAACUCAAAGGAAUUGACGGGGGCCCGCACAAGCGGAGGAACAUGUGGUUUAAUUCGAUGAUACGCGAGGAACCUUACCCGGGUUUGAACGUAGGGAGACAGGAGUGGAAACAUUCUUUUCAGCAAUGACUGCCUACGAGGUGCUGCAUGGUUGUCGUCAGCUCGUGCCGUGAGGUGUCGGCUUAAGUGCCAUAACGAGCGCAACCCUUAUUUUCAGUUACUAACAGGUGAUGCUGAGGACUCUGAAGAGACUGCCAGCGUAAGCUGUGAGGAAGGUGGGGAUGACGUCAAAUCAGCACGGCCCUUACAUCCGGGGCGACACACGUGUUACAAUGGUAAGGACAAAGGGCAGCUACCGGGCGACCGGAUGCGAAUCUCUAAACCUUAUCUCAGUUCGGAUCGGAGUCUGCAACUCGACUCCGUGAAGCUGGAUUCGCUAGUAAUCGCGCA